CCUACGGGAGGCAGCAGUGAGGAAUAUUGGUCAAUGGGCGCUAGCCUGAACCAGCCAAGUCGCGUGAAGGAUGACUGCCCUAUGGGUUGUAAACUUCUUUUAUAUGGGAAUAAAGUGCAGUAUGUAUACUGCUUUGCAUGUACCUUAUGAAUAAGGAUCGGCUAACUCCGUGCCAGCAGCCGCGGUAAUACGGAGGAUCCGAGCGUUAUCCGGAUUUAUUGGGUUUAAAGGGAGCGGAGGCGGGUUGUUAAGUCAGUUGUGAAAGUUUGGGGCUCAACCGGAAAAUUGCAGUUGAUACUGGCAGCCUUGAGUACGGUAGAGGUAGGCGGAAUUCGUGGUGUAGCGGUGAAAUGCUUAGAUAUCACGAAGAACUCCGAUUGCGAAGGCAGCCUGCUGGACUGUAACUGACGCUGAUGCUCGAAAGUGUGGGUAUCAAACAGGAUUAGAUACCCUAGUAGUC
Molecule: ribosomal RNA, 460 nt
Filed under: uncultured bacterium
Lineage: Bacteria
Description: partial 16S ribosomal RNA
Rfam family: Bacterial small subunit ribosomal RNA
Source: RNAcentral